CCUACGGGGGACAGCAGUGGGGAAUAUUGGGCAAUUGGCGCAAGCCUGACCCAGCAACGCCGCGUGAAGGAAGAAGGCUUUCGGGUUGUAAACUUCUUUUAAGGGGGAAGAGCAGAAGACGGUACCCCUUGAAUAAGCCACGGCUAACUACGUGCCAGCAGCCGCGGUAAUACGUAGGUGGCAAGCGUUGUCCGGAUUUACUGGGUGUAAAGGGCGUGCAGCCGGAGAGACAAGUCAGAUGUGAAAUCCACGGGCUCAACCCGUGAACUGCAUUUGAAACUGUUUCCCUUGAGUGUCGGAGAGGUAAUCGGAAUUCCUUGUGUAGCGGUGAAAUGCGUAGAUAUAAGGAAGAACACCAGUGGCGAAGGCGGAUUACUGGACGAUAACUGACGGUGAGGCGCGAAAGCGUGGGGAGCAAACAGGAUUAGAUACCCUUGUAGUC
This 442-nucleotide ribosomal RNA is filed under the name uncultured bacterium. Its description in RNAcentral is "partial 16S ribosomal RNA". It matches the Rfam family "Bacterial small subunit ribosomal RNA", at positions 338 to 795 of the family's 1533-position model. The record is from RNAcentral.